UACGUAGGUGGCAAGCGUUGUCCGGAAUUAUUGGGCGUAAAGCGCGCGCAGGCGGUUCUUUAAGUCUGAUGUGAAAGCCCACGGCUCAACCGUGGAGGGUCAUUGGAAACUGGGGAACUUGAGUACAGAAGAGGAAAGCGGAAUUCCACGUGUAGCGGUGAAAUGCGUAGAGAUGUGGAGGAACACCAGUGGCGAAGGCGGCACUCUGGGACGGUACUGACGCUGAGACGCGAAAGCGUGGGAGCGAACAGG
RNAcentral lists this ribosomal RNA (252 nucleotides) under uncultured bacterium. Its description in RNAcentral is "partial 16S ribosomal RNA". It matches the Rfam family "Bacterial small subunit ribosomal RNA", at positions 524 to 776 of the family's 1533-position model. The record is from RNAcentral.